This 88-nucleotide transfer RNA is filed under the name Pyrobaculum sp. WP30. RNAcentral describes it as "tRNA-OTHER". It matches the Rfam family "tRNA". From Rfam's summary of the family: Transfer RNA (tRNA) molecules are approximately 80 nucleotides in length. Lineage: Archaea; Thermoproteati; Thermoproteota; Thermoprotei; Thermoproteales; Thermoproteaceae. The record is from RNAcentral.
GCGGGGGUGCCCGAGCCAGGCCAAAGGGGCAGGGCUCAAGACCCUGUGGCGUAGGCCUACGUGGGUUCAAAUCCCACCCCCCGCACCA